Molecule: ribosomal RNA, 505 nt
Filed under: soil fungal sp. DM2-407
Lineage: Eukaryota; Fungi
Description: eukaryotic LSU rRNA
Rfam family: Eukaryotic large subunit ribosomal RNA
Source: RNAcentral
CGGCAACAGCUCAAUUUGAAAUCUGGCCCUUUUGGGGGUCCGAGUUGUAAUUUGUAGAGGGUGCUUUGGCGUUGGCUGUGGUCUAAGUUCCUUGGAACAGGACGUCCCAGAGGGUGAGAAUCCCGUAUGUGGCCGCCAGUCUUCGCCGUGUAAAGCCCCUUCGACGAGUCGAGUUGUUUGGGAAUGCAGCUCUAAAUGGGAGGUAAAUUUCUUCUAAAGCUAAAUAUUGGCCACAGACCGAUAGCGCACAAGUAGAGUGAUCGAAAGAUGAAAAGCACUUUGGAAAGAGAGUCAAAAAGCACGUGAAAUUGUUGAAAGGGAAGCGCUUGCAGCCAGACUUGCUUGCAGUUGUUUAGCUAGGCUUUUGCCUGGUGUACUCUUCUGCAUGCAGGCCAGCAUCANUCCGGGCGGUUGGAUAAAGGCCUAUUAAACGUACCUCCCUUCGGGGAGGACUUAUAGGGUAGGUGCCAUGCAACCAGCCUGGAUUGAGGUCCGCGCAUCUGCU